UGACGAGUCCCAAAUAGGACGAAAUGCGCGUC
RNAcentral lists this non-coding RNA (32 nucleotides) under Trichobilharzia regenti. Lineage: Eukaryota; Metazoa; Platyhelminthes; Trematoda; Strigeidida; Schistosomatidae. The record is from RNAcentral.